CUUAAAUAUGUCUACCCCACAUAAUGAUAGGGGAGUUAUCUACUAAACAGAUGAAAUAUCAAAAUUAUUAGGUGCCAUUAGCCAGCUCAAAAGAAGGUAGUAAUGUGAAUUCUGUGAAAUUGUGGUGUAUGAUGCCUCCCACUGGAAAUUAUUAGUGUCACCCCUCCCCCUUUUUGACUGUAUUUUUGACAUUUUUGACUGUGGUAUCUUAUGUGCCCCCCAAC
This is a non-coding RNA of Pelobates cultripes (western spadefoot toad), 224 nucleotides long. The record is from the annotation of a GenBank genome assembly. Lineage: Eukaryota; Metazoa; Chordata; Amphibia; Anura; Pelobatidae.